This 73-nucleotide transfer RNA is filed under the name Sus scrofa (pig). It matches the Rfam family "tRNA". From Rfam's summary of the family: Transfer RNA (tRNA) molecules are approximately 80 nucleotides in length. Their secondary structure includes four short double-helical elements and three loops (D, anti-codon, and T loops). Lineage: Eukaryota; Metazoa; Chordata; Mammalia; Artiodactyla; Suidae. The record is from Rfam by way of RNAcentral.
UCCCUGGUGGUCUAGUAGAUUAGGAUGCAGUACUUUCACCAUUGUGGCCCAGGUUCAAUCCCUGGUCUGGGAA